UACGUAGGGUGCAAGCGUUGUCCGGAAUUAUUGGGCGUAAAGAGCUCGUAGGCGGUUUGUCGCGUCUGCUGUGAAAUCCCGAGGCUCAACCUCGGGUCUGCAGUGGGUACGGGCAGACUAGAGUGUGGUAGGGGAGAUUGGAAUUCCUGGUGUAGCGGUGAAAUGCGCAGAUAUCAGGAGGAACACCGGUGGCGAAGGCGGGUCUCUGGGCAUUACCUGACGCUGAGGAGCGAAAGCAUGGGGAGCGAACAGG
This 253-nucleotide ribosomal RNA is filed under the name uncultured bacterium. RNAcentral's name for it is "partial 16S ribosomal RNA". It matches the Rfam family "Bacterial small subunit ribosomal RNA", at positions 524 to 776 of the family's 1533-position model. The record is from RNAcentral.